UGUGUAGGCGGUUCUUUAAGUUUGCUGUGAAAUCUCCCGGCUUAACCGGGAGGGUGCGGUGAAUACUGAGGGACUAGAGUACGGGAGAGGAAAGUGGAAUUCCUGGUGUAGCGGUGAAAUGCGUAGAUAUCAGGAGGAACACCGGUGGUGUAGACGGCUUUCUGGACCGACACUGACGCUGAGACACGAAAGCGUGGGUAGCAAAC
RNAcentral lists this ribosomal RNA (206 nucleotides) under uncultured bacterium. RNAcentral's name for it is "partial 16S ribosomal RNA". It matches the Rfam family "Bacterial small subunit ribosomal RNA", at positions 568 to 773 of the family's 1533-position model. The record is from RNAcentral.